UCAAAUUAAGUUUUUAUGAUUUUAAGUUAAAUUAGACUUAAGAAUAUGUGUAAGAAUUGAGAAUAAAUAUUUACUUUUUAUUUUAGAAAUGAACACACAAGAAAAUUUAAACGACGAUGAUGGUGACUUUUUUAGAAAUGCGCAGGAGAUAAUGGCAGAAGAGACAGAGUCUCUUCUGCCUUAUUUUAAAGAAUUCUUCAAUAAUCAAAGUUAGCAUUUUCUAUUUUUUCUUUUUUACUUCAGUUUUUUCGAAGUUUAUGUUACAGUAAAUAAAUUUAUGAACUAAUCUUUCAUACAUUUUGUUUAUUUAGAAAAUUUAGAAAGUAGAGUUAGUAAG
Non-coding RNA from Hydra vulgaris (swiftwater hydra), 337 nucleotides. NCBI's taxonomy places the organism in Eukaryota, Metazoa, Cnidaria, Hydrozoa, Anthoathecata, Hydridae. The record is from RefSeq and is a predicted model, not a curated record.